Molecule: long non-coding RNA, 780 nt
Organism: Mus musculus (house mouse)
Lineage: Eukaryota; Metazoa; Chordata; Mammalia; Rodentia; Muridae
Product: predicted gene, 38924
Exons: 3
Source: RefSeq, a predicted model, not a curated record
CAGAGUCAUUACAAAAGGAUCUACACAGUUAGAGGCAAUUCUGCUUAACCUCACAAAGAGCACAACCAUCUCAGCUGCACUGGAUGAGCAAGUAUGAAGUAUCCCCUUCACACUUCAAAGAACAUACUGAUCAUCACUACCUCCAUAUGGAGCUGCUCCAAUUGUGGCAAGGUAGCCACUGGGCAAGAAUCAUCUGCAGACAAGAAAAUUAUGUCUAGGAAAGGACACAUGAUGCAGGAUAGUCUACAGCUUUGCUCUGCUAAUUCCAGGAGACUGUGCAUGUCUGCAUGCAAGAUACCGAGGGACCCUGUACCCAGUUGGAAGUGGCACUAUUAGGAGGUGUGUCUUUGUUUGUAUUGAUUUGUCUUUGUUGGAGGACGUGUGUCACUGUGUAGGUGGGCUUUGAAGGCUCCUAGUGCUCAUGGUCCACACAGUGCAUAAGAGAGUCCUCUCUUGGCUGCCUUUGGAUCAAGAUAGAUCUCUAAGCUCCUCCAGCACCAUGCCUGCCUUUCUUCUCACCAUGAUGACAGUGGACUGAACCUCUGAAACUGGAAGCCAGCCCCAAUAAAAUGUUUGCUCUUAUAAGAGAUGCCUUGGCCAUGGAGUCUCUUCACAGUAGUAAAGCCCAACUAAGACAGGGACUGUUGGAACAAUUUUGAAGUGAAUACAGUAACUUGCACAUUUUGUAAAUAUUCAAAUUUAUUGUAAUGACUGUAUAUAAUCCUGAUGUAAUUGUUUUGAAUUAAGAAACAUCAUAAGUAAGAAAUCUCAGAGUUAUUA